UACCAGCUCUCCGAGUGGUGUGGAUGUUUAUUGGGCCUAAAGCAUCCGUAGCUGGCUGGGCAAGUCCCCUGUUAAAUCCACCGAUUUAAUCGUUGGUGUGCGGGGGAUACUGUUCGGCUAGGGGACGGGAGAGGCCGACGGUAUUUUCGGGGUAGGGGUGAAAUCCUAUAAUCCCGGGAAGACCACCAGUGGCGAAGGCUGUCGGCUAGAACGCGCCCGACGGUGAGGGAUGAAAGCUGGGGGAGCGAACCGGAUUAGAUACCCGGGUAGUCCCAGCUGUAAACGAUGCAGGCUAGGUGUUUGGGCGGCCACGUGCCGCUCUAGUGCCGCAGAGAAGUCGUUAAGCCUGCCGCCUGGGGAGUACGGCCGCAAGGCUGAAACUUAAAGGAAUUGGCAGGGGAGCACCACAAGGGGUGAAGCUUGCGGUUU
This 429-nucleotide ribosomal RNA is filed under the name uncultured archaeon. RNAcentral describes it as "bacterial SSU rRNA". It matches the Rfam family "Archaeal small subunit ribosomal RNA", at positions 474 to 903 of the family's 1478-position model. The record is from RNAcentral.